GCGGGUAUAGCUCAGUGGUAGAGCAUGUGCACGAGGUCCUGGGUUCCAUCCCCAGUACCUCCA
This 63-nucleotide transfer RNA is filed under the name Camelus bactrianus (Bactrian camel). It matches the Rfam family "tRNA". From Rfam's summary of the family: Transfer RNA (tRNA) molecules are approximately 80 nucleotides in length. Lineage: Eukaryota; Metazoa; Chordata; Mammalia; Artiodactyla; Camelidae. The record is from Rfam by way of RNAcentral. RNAcentral also lists the same sequence under 1 other name.